UGAGCAAUCUGCCCUUCUCAUCGGAAUAAGCGUUGGAAACGACGUCUAAUGCCGAAUACGACCUCCUUUCGCAUGAUCGGAGGUGGAAAGCUCCGGCGGAGAAGGAUGAGCUCGCGGCCUAUCAGCUAGUUGGUGUGGGUAAUGGCCUACCAAGGCGACGACGGGUAGCCGGCCUGAGAGGGUGACCGGCCACACUGGGACUGAGACACGGCCCAGACUCCUACGGGAGCAG
RNAcentral lists this ribosomal RNA (232 nucleotides) under uncultured bacterium. RNAcentral describes it as "partial 16S ribosomal RNA". It matches the Rfam family "Bacterial small subunit ribosomal RNA", at positions 118 to 347 of the family's 1533-position model. The record is from RNAcentral.